GUCCCUAUAGCUCAGGUGGAUAGAGCGGGGGAUUCCUAAUCCCCGUCUGCCGGAGGUUCGAGUCCUCCUAGGGACACCA
RNAcentral lists this transfer RNA (79 nucleotides) under Gelria sp. Kuro-4. Its description in RNAcentral is "tRNA-Arg". It matches the Rfam family "tRNA". Rfam says of the family: Transfer RNA (tRNA) molecules are approximately 80 nucleotides in length. The record is from RNAcentral. Lineage: Bacteria; Bacillati; Bacillota; Clostridia; Thermoanaerobacterales; Thermoanaerobacteraceae.